RNAcentral lists this long non-coding RNA (317 nucleotides) under Suricata suricatta (meerkat). RNAcentral's name for it is "lncRNA (ENSSSUG00005020618.1)". The record is from RNAcentral. Lineage: Eukaryota; Metazoa; Chordata; Mammalia; Carnivora; Herpestidae.
GCCUCAGCCCUCCGGGCCACGGGCCUCUCCGGGCGGGCGCCCAGGGUGGCGGCGCCUGCGGCCGAGCGCCUGGAGCAGGUAGUGUUGGUGCUUCUUUUCAGUGCCAGUCCAUCCAUCACGACCACAUUUGUCAUGAUGACAGUGACAAGGCAUGGUCCAUUUCUCAGAUUUGGGAACAAAACGUGAUUUUUCUUUAAAGUUGCCUCAAUUUUAACUCAUCCAUCUGUGACUGAGGAUGAAACCAGGGGUGAGAUGAAUUAAUUUGUAGCUUCAAUGGUACACUUUCCCAGAGUGGCCCGAAACACUUCCUGGAAUGC